This is a long non-coding RNA of Anas platyrhynchos (mallard), 1323 nucleotides long. RefSeq lists it as uncharacterized. The record is from RefSeq and is a predicted model, not a curated record. Lineage: Eukaryota; Metazoa; Chordata; Aves; Anseriformes; Anatidae.
UAUGAGUAUGUAAAAGGUCAUAUGUUUCCACAGUGUCUCUGCCAAACACAGGCAGAAGAAAGGAUCCUUUGAAUAAUGCUCACUUUCAAGUGCCCUAGUGUUUCAGAAGACUGCUUAUUUUGUUGCUCCUUUUCUUUUUUUCUUAUUUGUUUUUAAAGUUAAUGUAAAAACUGUAAUCUUAGAACUGCUGCUUCAUUUGUCCUUUCCUUGAAAAUACCUGCUUUCUUCUUUGAAGAGCCCUAAGUGUGGUCUUGGGAAUCUGGAGAGGUCCCAGUUGACUGGAAGCUGGCAAACAUUGUUCUAAUUUUCAAGAAGGUCAAGAAAGAAGACUCUGGUAAUUACAAGCCUGCACUUCAGUGCCUGCAUUGACAGAUUUUUGGAAAACUGGAUGACAGUCAUAUGAAUUCUUAAAAUAGUAGCUGAAGGAUGAGAAAAAAUAUAGAGCCCAAUCCUGCCAUGGAAACUGUGUGGGUGCAAGGCUAUUACAACUCGUCUCUGUCUGCAAGACACUAACACUGGAAGAAAGGAGAAAAGAAUCAAUUCACAGAAAGAAUUUCUUAUUCAUGAUAAAAUUUAGAAUGAUAGCCAGUUUUUGUAGGAACGUUAUGUUGGAAAUAUGGGAGAAUACCUUCAUAAGUGUUUCUGCGCAUACUGUUAUUGUAUGUACAGACUUAGCCCUCCAGGAGUUUCCAGUUUGAUUGCACUUCAUGCACUGUUUCAACUUUACAGCUAUCAUUUUAGUCAAGCAGAAAAAUCCUUGUAUUGAGUAUUUAACUAUUUAAUAUUACAAUAUUGAAAUAUCAUAAAAUAUUCCUAUAAUGAUUGUUUCAUCUGCUUUCUUACAGGGAAUUUAGCUGAUGACAAAUUUAUAGAUGCAGUUGUGUUGAAUUUAUUUCUAUUAUUUAAUAAACAUCUGCUGAUGGGUUUUGAUUUCACUUAUGAGUCUUUUACCUUUAAAGAGCUGAGAUCAUAUAUGGCUCCUGUCAUUUGCCAGUGAAAGGAGUGUGAAGAGGAUGGUGUUACUAAAGGCCAGAAAACAGAUUUCUGAGAGCCAUUACUUAUAUGCAUAUAAGGGCUACAGUUGUUGUAAUUCUGUAUGGAAUCAGACAUGGGGUUAAAAGCACUAUGGAACAUAGUUUUGAAUGCAGUGAACAAGAGUUGACAUCAGUGUUGCCAUAUUUUUGUUAAGUUUCUGUGAAAUAAUAGAAGCUGAAUUAUUUAGUUGUUUAUAUAUGAAAGGAAAGAUCUUUUGAUUCAGAACUGCUAGUUUUUCUCUUAGAGCUAAUCUAUAAAUGAAAACUAUUUUCUUGCAAUACAUUUUUG